RNAcentral lists this ribosomal RNA (403 nucleotides) under Ilyocypris environmental sample. Its description in RNAcentral is "SSU rRNA". It matches the Rfam family "Eukaryotic small subunit ribosomal RNA", at positions 21 to 384 of the family's 1831-position model. Lineage: Eukaryota; Metazoa; Arthropoda; Ostracoda; Podocopida; Ilyocyprididae. The record is from RNAcentral.
UGUAGUCAUAUGCUUGUCUCAUAGAUUAAGCCAUGCAGGUCUAAGUAUAAGCCGAAAUAAAGUGAAACCGCGAAUGGCUCAUUACAUCAGUUAUGGUUCCUUAGAUCUCCGGUAUCCUACUUGGAUAACCCUGGAAAUUCUAGAGCUAAUACAUGCAAAUGUAGCCUCAACCCUUGUGGGAGAGGCGUUUUUGUUAGACUAAAACCAAUCGGGGAGCAAUCCCUGUUGAUUUGGUGAGUCUGAACAACUUUGAGCGGAUCGCAUGGUCUUGUACCGGCAACAACUCUUUCAAAUGUCUGCCUUAUCAACUUGAUGGUAGGUUAUGUGCCUACCAUGGUGACAACGGGUAACGGGGAAUGGGGCGGGGGCGGCGGGCCGGGCGCGGGGCGCGGCGGGCGAACCC